GCCGCGAGGCAGAGCGAAUCGCUAAAAGCCGUCCCAGUUCGGAUUGCAGGCUGCAACCCGCCUGCAUGAAGUUGGAAUCGCUAGUAAUCGCGGAUCAGCAUGCCGCGGUGAAUACGUUCCCGGGCCUUGUACACACCGCCCGUCACACCAUGGGAGUCGGUAACACCCGAAGUCGGUAGCCUAACCGUAAGGAGGGCGCCGCCGAAGGUGGGAUUGAUGACUGGGGUGAAGUCGUAACAAGGUAAC
RNAcentral lists this ribosomal RNA (246 nucleotides) under uncultured bacterium. RNAcentral's name for it is "partial 16S ribosomal RNA". It matches the Rfam family "Bacterial small subunit ribosomal RNA", at positions 1254 to 1500 of the family's 1533-position model. The record is from RNAcentral.